RNAcentral lists this small RNA (133 nucleotides) under Klebsiella pneumoniae. Its description in RNAcentral is "RtT sRNA". It matches the Rfam family "RtT RNA". Rfam says of the family: This family represents a bacterial cis-regulatory element known as RtT RNA. Lineage: Bacteria; Pseudomonadati; Pseudomonadota; Gammaproteobacteria; Enterobacterales; Enterobacteriaceae. The record is from RNAcentral.
UAUUCUGCCCCAUGGGGAAGGAUGAGAAGCUUCGACUAAGGUUCGACUCGAGCGCCAGCGAGAGAACGUUGCCUCUGGCAACGUCCCGAAGGGCGAGGCGAUUUAGCGCCGAGUAAUCCUUCCCCCACCACCA